RNAcentral lists this ribosomal RNA (253 nucleotides) under uncultured bacterium. RNAcentral describes it as "partial 16S ribosomal RNA". It matches the Rfam family "Bacterial small subunit ribosomal RNA", at positions 524 to 776 of the family's 1533-position model. The record is from RNAcentral.
UACGAAGGGGGCUAGCGUUGCUCGGAAUUACUGGGCGUAAAGGGAGCGUAGGCGGGUUGACAAGUUGGAGGUGAAAGCCCAGGGCUCAACCCUGGAAUAGCCUUCAAAACUGUCAGCCUUGAGUAUGGAAGAGGUAAGUGGAAUUCCGAGUGUAGAGGUGAAAUUCGUAGAUAUUCGGAGGAACACCAGUGGCGAAGGCGACUUACUGGUCCAUGACUGACGCUGAGGCUCGAAAGCGUGGGGAGCAAACAGG